CAGUAGCCCGGGAAUACAGAGGGUGCGAGCGUUAAUCGGAUUUACUGGGCGUAAAGCGUGCGUAGGCGGCUUCUUAAGUCGGAUGUGAAAUCCCUGAGCUUAACUUAGGAAUUGCAUUCGAUACUGGGAAGCUAGAGUAUGGGAGAGGAUGGUAAAAUUCCAGGUGUAGCGGUGAAAUGCGUAGAGAUCUGGAGGAAUACCGAUGGCGAAGGCAGCCAUCUGGCCUAAUACUGACGCUGAGGUACGAAAGCAUGGGGAGCAAACAGGAUUAGAUACCCGUGUAGUCCCUGUCUCUUAUACC
Molecule: ribosomal RNA, 301 nt
Filed under: uncultured bacterium
Lineage: Bacteria
Description: partial 16S ribosomal RNA
Rfam family: Bacterial small subunit ribosomal RNA
Source: RNAcentral